This 1743-nucleotide long non-coding RNA is filed under the name Olea europaea subsp. europaea. The record is from RNAcentral. Lineage: Eukaryota; Viridiplantae; Streptophyta; Magnoliopsida; Lamiales; Oleaceae.
CCACUGGCUGCCACCAUUACCAUCAUUGUCUGCCACCACCACCCACUAUGACUGUAUUAACAACCUCCUACUGAUAAUUCUCGUGGUAUCGAUUAUCAUUCUUUCCAAUCCAGUGCAGGGUUACUUCCAAACCCACCAAAUUCUUGCACCACUACCCCCCUACCAAAAGGGAUUCUUCUACUUUGAUUUCGCCCAAAAUCCCGUUAACUUCUCUUAAUGAAGAUCGCAAAAGCUUGAAAAAGAACUAAAAAAAUUAGUAUGAUUCCAAUCCCAAUUACGAUUAAAUUCGAUGGCAAAGGGGGGUUAUGAGGAUGAUUUCCAUUUCUCUGAACGUUGGGUUGGACUGGCUUAUUUUUGCUCACCUCCCUUAAAUUCUUUGCCCAUGCCAAAAUUCUCACUCCGGCAAAAAGGUCUGUUUCACUUGACUUAAUCUAUGGCAAAAUCUGUUCCUACUUUCCCAACCAAGGGGCAUAGUCUCUCACCUAGUGAUUUGUUUGAUGAAUUUGUUGACAAUAAUGAAUCAAAAUUUGGUUCAUUAAUUUUAAAAACAGUUUUUGAAAUGGAUGAAUGUGAUGAUGACAAGUAUGAUUGUUAAUCAAUAUUGUAAAAAAUAAUUGUACAUGUAGUAUGGCUCUUUUUUUGAUAGUGCUGAAUUGAUCUUGGCUAGCUUAUAUUUGCAGGACAACUUGGGGUGGUGUAAGGGUGAGUGGAGAAGAUGAUUCAUGGAAAAGCUUCUCGUAUAGAAGCUGGUUCACAAAACAGCUACAGAAAUUUAAAUUGAUAAAAAAUGUAUUGACGUGUUGGGUGUCCAGCAGAAAAAUUGAAAGGGGAUGUAACACACCACUCCACCCGCCAUUGAGAUCCCCCCACCCCCAAGAUAAGAUAUUUCUCGUCUCUCCCCGAAGCUAAAGUUGUUAGAUUGAUUGCCAGCUAGGGCGAAACACCAGCUCAUCUUUACACACUCACCCACAACAUCGACAACAGUCGCUCUCCCAUAUUGGAAUCCUCGCACGUCGAGUGCAAAGAUGGUAAUGUCCAACUCCCGUGACGAUAAAAACCAGUCUUCACCAACUCCGGAAAACCCAAGUGAGCGACAAUCUUUUUUUAUGUUUCUGAUCGUGUUUUGUUUUUUCAUGAUAUGCUUCUAUUGUGUUGUGAAUGCCUUGUUUGAGAGUUAUAUUUGUUGUUGCCAAGGUCUGCUCUCUUGGUAAUGUUAUUUAAACCCAAUGAAUCUUUUUUGUUGUUUCAAUUGCAUUCUGUAAUUUGUCUGAAGGAGUGGAUUUACGUAGUUUUUGAUUACUUGUGGAAAAUGUUAAAGCGCUGAGAUCACAAUUUCAAUUACUUAUUCGACUGAAAUUCAUUAAUAUUUUGCUGAACGUUGCCAUUUUUUGUGCUGCGGCAGGAGGUUCUAUGGAAGACGUAGGUGCCGGAGGCUGGUAUGAUGUUUAAUGAAGAAAUCGACAGGUUUAUUGCGAUUUGUGCACUCGAUAAUAUUACCUAGGUAAAGAUGUUAGGUUAUUUGUUGUUUUAACGGAUUGACGACAGUCGGAGACGCAGAAGAAAGCACCAGCGACAUAUACAGAAAUUAAUGGUUUCAGUUCGGUGGGUGAAUUAUUUGGGGAAAGUAGCGUAAGAAAGUGGGAGUCAAUCAUAGUGGGGGGUUUUUGUUUGUUUCAACGGUGACAUGAUAUUUUAUUUAUUUUUUUAUUUUUAAACAAAAAUUGCUUGACAACUUAUCUUCUG